RNAcentral lists this long non-coding RNA (214 nucleotides) under Gossypium barbadense (sea-island cotton). Its description in RNAcentral is "long non-coding RNA (GBAR_LNC020508)". The record is from RNAcentral. Lineage: Eukaryota; Viridiplantae; Streptophyta; Magnoliopsida; Malvales; Malvaceae.
AAAUAAUCUUUGCUUCACAUAGAGCUCGUAAGUGAUCACUGCCUUUCACUACAUGCUAAAUGAGGAAGCACUCGAGUAGUUGAAAGGCCAGGCGAGAAGUGAGAUAAAGGCGUGAAGCAAUGACCAAUCCUAUCCAAUACACAAUUAUGCCAUAUUCAAGCAGCAAACUGUACCGUGUCGGCGUAAUAUACCUUUGCCUAUAAGUCAAGAAAAC